RNAcentral lists this long non-coding RNA (720 nucleotides) under Bos taurus (domestic cattle). Its description in RNAcentral is "long non-coding RNA NONBTAT026834". Lineage: Eukaryota; Metazoa; Chordata; Mammalia; Artiodactyla; Bovidae. The record is from RNAcentral.
AGAGUUAGAGAGUUUUUCUGUCUGACCUGGAGUUAACACUGGAAAACUACAACUCUUGAUUUACUGUUUUGCUUUUUUAAAGAUAGUAAAUUGGUAGUCAUAUUUGGAAAUAGCUUAUUUUUAGAACUCAGAAGUUUCCUAAUAGGGAAAAACAUGGAACUUCUGCAAUAAUUUGAUGUUUUUGAGCAAUCUGGGGUCUGAGAAGUAAGUUGAUACAGUGUUGAGUUUGGAUGUUUAAAUAGGUUACCAGUCAGGAAAUACCAAAGCUAAGUUUCCCAUGGACUUGUAGUCUGGUCGAUUUGCACUUACAUGUCUGCAAAAAUAAGGCCUGAGGACCUUUAGAGGCUGAGCUACUAGUACCUUCCCAGGGUCCCAUGUAAUCUUAAAGAGUAAACUUCAGCAAAUAUGAAACCAUCUGGGUGGUAAGUGCCAGGGCACAGGUGGCCUUGUGCCACCUGCCUCCUGGGGCUGGAGAUUGAAGUACCCCAAGCUUGCUUUAGGCAUGGGGGGUCUCAUUCCUCUGUUUUUAACUGAUUGGGCAAAAACUCCAAUGUCUGUUUCCAUCACGUACCAAAAUAUUAGUAUCAAUAGGGAAGUGUCAUGUGAAACAACAUUCCUAAGAUAAAGAGAACUAGAACUAUCAUCUGACCUAAAUAUUUUCAAAUUAGUUUUUCUUCAUUCUCAAUGUAAAUAUCAAUAAACUUAAAGGGGGGGUGGGGG